Long non-coding RNA from Mustela erminea (ermine), 549 nucleotides. RefSeq lists it as uncharacterized. Lineage: Eukaryota; Metazoa; Chordata; Mammalia; Carnivora; Mustelidae. The transcript is spliced from 3 exons. The record is from RefSeq and is a predicted model, not a curated record.
UAACGAAAAGGCGACAACGAUGAUCCCGACAAGGUCACUCCCAAGAAGGACCCUCCAGACGAGGCUGCUCUGGACAAGGCUGCUCCGCAGAUGAGGCCGCUCCCCGGUUGGAGCUGCUCGCAAGAAGAGGCCACUCUGGACGAGGACGCUUCCUGGAUGAGGCCGCUCCCAACGACAAAGAGGUGACAACGACAGCGAUGAUGACAAGGAGGACAACAACCCCGAUGACACAGACUCUGCUUCCCAUGACGCCACUCUGACAAGGCUGGCUCCCCAGAGGAGGCCACCGCUCCAGAUGAGGCCGCUGGACGAGGAGGCCGCUCCUUGGAAUGACGCCGCUCGGCCACCUGCCUCCGCGUGCUCCUUCAUCACCCUGCUGGGCUCAGUCUCUGACUCGAAUUUUUUUCCUGAAUCAACCUCUCAAGAGAUGCAUCCAGUGUCUGAAGGAAUUAUGAAGAGGCAGUUGCCAAAAAGCUGAAAUUUGAGAAGAAGAUCUGGAGGUUACCUCGUGACCAAGAAAAUCAAAUACUUCAAGGAACAGAUCCUAAG